CGAGCCGGGCGGACGGCCGCGUGAAGUUCCCGCGAGGGACUUCCCGAGGAACGUCCGGACUCCACAGGGCAGGGUGGUGGCUAACGGCCACCCGGGGUGACCCGCGGGACAGUGCCACAGAAAACAGACCGCCGGGGACCUCGGUCCUCGGUAAGGGUGAAACGGCGGUGUAAGAGACCACCAGUGCCCAGGGUGACCUGGGCAGCUAGGUAAACCCCACCCGGAGCAAGGUCAAAAGGAGACACCCCGGUGUCUCUGCGCGGACGUUCGAGGGCUGCCCGCCCGAGUCCGCGGGUGGACCGCACGAGGCCGGCGGCAACGCCGGCCCUAGAUGGAUGGCCGUCUCCCCGGCCGCCGCGAGGCGACCGGGCGACAAAAUCCGGCGUACAGCCCGACUCGUCUG
This 403-nucleotide RNase P RNA is filed under the name Streptomyces sp. Tu 6176. RNAcentral's name for it is "bacterial RNase P". It matches the Rfam family "Bacterial RNase P class A". From Rfam's summary of the family: Ribonuclease P (RNase P) is a ubiquitous endoribonuclease, found in archaea, bacteria and eukarya as well as chloroplasts and mitochondria. Its best characterised activity is the generation of mature 5'-ends of tRNAs by cleaving the 5'-leader elements of precursor-tRNAs. Lineage: Bacteria; Bacillati; Actinomycetota; Actinomycetes; Kitasatosporales; Streptomycetaceae. The record is from RNAcentral. RNAcentral also lists the same sequence under 6 other names.